AGAGUUUGAUCAUGGCUCAGAACGAACGCUGGCCGUCUGUUUACAACCUGCAAGUCGAACGAGAAACCUUGGGCUUGCUCGAGGAAGUAAAGUGGCGCAUGGGUGAGUAACGCGUGGGUAACCUGCCCUUGAAACCGGGAUAACUUCGCGAAAGCGUUGCUAAUACCGGAUAUUGUUCUAUUAGCUGUGGCUUUUGGAAUGAAAGGUGACCUCUUCAUGAAAGUUGCCGUUUAAGGAUGGGCCCGCGUACCAUUAGCUUGUUGGUGGGGUAAUGGCCUACCAAGGCUACGAUGGUUAGCUGGUCUGAGAGGAUGAUCAGCCACACUGGAACUGAAACACGGUCCAGACUCCUACGGGAGGCAGCAGUGGGGAAUUUUGCGCAAUGGGGGAAACCCUGACGCAGCAACGCCGCGUGAGUGAAGAAGGCUCUCGGGUCGUAAAGCUCUGUCAAGUGGGAAAAAAUUCUUUUGAUUAAUAGUCUAAAGAAUUGAUGGUACCACUAGAGGAAGCACCGGCUAACUCCGUGCCAGCAGCCGCGGUAAUACGGAGGGUGCAAGCGUUGUUCGGAAUUAUUGGGCGUAAAGAGCGUGUAGGCGGGUUGGUAAGUCAGAUGUGAAAGCCCUGGGCUUAACCCAGGAAGUGCAUUUGAAACUGCCAUCCUUGAGUAUGGGAGAGGAGAGUGGAAUUCCCAGUGUAGAGGUGAAAUUCGUAGAUAUUGGGAGGAACACCGGUGGCGAAGGCGACUCUCUGGACCAAUACUGACGCUGAGACGCGAAAGCGUGGGGAGCAAACAGGAUUAGAUACCCUGGUAGUCCACGCCGUAAACGAUGAGAACUAGGUGUAGCGGGUAUUGACCCCUGCUGUGCCGUAGUUAACGCAUUAAGUUCUCCGCCUGGGGAGUACGGCCGCAAGGCUAAAACUCAAAGGAAUUGACGGGGGCCCGCACAAGCGGUGGAGCAUGUGGUUUAAUUCGACGCAACGCGAAGAACCUUACCUGGGUUUGACAUCCUCUGACCGCCUCGGAAACGGGGUUUUUCCGACUCUGUCGGAACAGAGUGACAGGUGCUGCAUGGCUGUCGUCAGCUCGUGUCGUGAGAUGUUGGGUUAAGUCCCGCAACGAGCGUAACCCUUGUCUUUAGUUGCCAGUAUUAAGUUAGGCACUCUAGAGAGACUGCCUCGGUUAACGGGGAGGAAGGUGAGGAUGACGUCAAGUCCUCAUGGCCUUUAUACCCAGGGCUACACACGUGCUACAAUGGGCUGUACAAAGGGUCGCUACUCCGCGAGGAGAAGCUAAUCCCAAAAAGCAGUUCUCAGUUCGGAUUGGAGUCUGCAACUCGACUCCAUGAAGUUGGAAUCGCUAGUAAUCGUGGAUCAGCAUGCCACGGUGAAUACGUUCCCGGGCCUUGUACACACCGCCCGUCACACCACGAAAGUCGACUGUACCAGAAGUUGCUGGGCUAACCCGUCGCUCAACUGAGCGCUUGUUUAUAAAAGCAGGAGAAGAUGAUUCUUUGCUGCUAACUAGCGCCCAUCCAUAAAUGAGGUUUUUUUGUUCAAGAUCAAGGCAUGCGAAAAAAAAUAAUCGGAGGCAUAUAUAUAAUAUUCCGAGGAAUAUUUUUCGCAUAACGCAGAGAUUGGUCAAAAAGGCCGUUUAUGGAUGGGCACUAACUAAACCGGUGUUGAGUUGAGUGACGGGAGGCAGGUACCUAAGGUAUGGCCGGUAAUUGGGGUGAAGUCGUAACAAGGUA
Molecule: ribosomal RNA, 1748 nt
Filed under: uncultured delta proteobacterium
Lineage: Bacteria; Deltaproteobacteria
Description: bacterial SSU rRNA
Rfam family: Bacterial small subunit ribosomal RNA
Source: RNAcentral